This is a ribosomal RNA of 6044 nucleotides. The stretch from base 3903 to 6044 matches the Rfam family "Bacterial large subunit ribosomal RNA".
UAUAGAAAGAAACUAUUAGGGAAUCAUUGCAAUAUAUUAAAGAGAGAAUAAAUUUUAAAUUGUAUAGAAAUACAUGAAUUCUAAGAGAAAUUCAGUAAUAAACAAAGCAAAUUGAAAUAUCUUAGCAACUUUAGGAAAAGAAAUCAAAAGAGAUUCUAUGAUUAGUGAGAAUGAAAAUAGAGAAGCCUUAAGUAAAAUGGGUUAAAGCCUGUUUGAAUAAGUAAAGGGGAACCUUCCUCUAAGGCUAAAUAUGAUAUAUUGAGCGAUAGUGAAGUAGUACCGUGAGGGAAAGGAAAAAUUAGUAGUUUUAUAAGCAGCUUGAGAAGUAAAUUUAAAUAAUAUUAAGAGCGUACCUUUUGCAUAAUAAGUAAAAUGGGUUAAAGCCUGUUUGAAUAAGUAAAGGGGAACCUUCCUCUAAGGCUAAAUAUGAUAUAUUGAGCGAUAGUGAAGUAGUACCGUGAGGGAAAGGAAAAAUUAGUAGUUUUAUAAGCAGCUUGAGAAGUAAAUUUAAAUAAUAUUAAGAGCGUACCUUUUGCAUAAUGGGUAAAUUGCUUGCCCGUAAAAAUUGUGAAAUUUUUAAUAAAACUGACUCAUGACCGCGCGCUAGCGCGCGGGUCGGUAUGGUAAUUAUUAAAUUAUUAUGCUAACGGUGAAACCUAAGGGUAAUAAAUAUGAAUUAGGUUAUGUUUAUGGUCCAAAUACAACAUACUACCACUUAAAUCAUAAUUUAUUUUUGUGUAAUUAGCUUUACAUGAAAAUUUUUAUUAAAAACACGUUAAAACACAUCAUCAAAAAUAUCCAUUUUAAUAUUUAGAAAUGGAAAAAUAUUCAAUAUAAAAUUAAAAAAAAAUUAUAUAUUUAUAAAAUUCUAAGUUAAAAAUAUGAAAAAUCAUCUGCUUUGCAGAUGUUUUUUAAUUAAGUUUAGAAGAAAUUAAUUUUCGCAGCAAUAUUUAAAUGUAUCUAUUUUGCAGUUCGAGGGUUUGAGGUUCGACUAUAAAUUUAUUAGAACUUUUUGUAACGGCUUAUGUGAAAAACAUAAACAUGCUGCGCGGGCUGACCCCCUCGUAAAAGAGGCUAUCAUGCCUGUAUGGCCUAUCAAUUAGUUUUUAGAAUUUAUGGGUCAGGAACGUUUUUUUAACAUUCUUUACAACUUAUGAAACAGAAGAUACCCCUGCAAAAUAAUUUAAAUCGACAUCGAACGUUCAAACCUAAGUGUAGUUGGGCUUAAAAGCAGCCAUACUUUAAAUAAAUCGGAAUAGAACGAUUUCACUGUGUCUGGCGAAACCGAAUGCCCCAUAAUUUAACGGGCGCUAGGGUCAGCGGGAGUUCCCAUAACGUAGAAAGCAGCUAUGGACAAAUCCACUGCGGUCCCCGGGAUAAAAGGCCCUUGGAUGGGAAACGUCAUGGUAGAAUUGGCAGGAUGAACCUUGAAGGAUGAUCCGGGCCGUAGAAGAGAAUUAUUGAGUGAGGGGUUGGUUCUGCGGAGUUCGUUGUAAAGAUACCUGAUAAAAGAACUUCUUGAUAGAAUACUUAAACCGUCACAAUAAUUACAAUUAAUGAAAAUAAAAAUAUGCUUCAUCCUUUAUAUGUUACAGGUUUUUCUGAUGCAGAGUCCACUUUUGUCGUAAAAAUAUCUAAAGAUCCUAGAACGAAAACAGGGUGACGAAUAGAUCCAGUAUUUGAAAUAGGGUUAAAUGAAAAAGAAUUAGCUUUAUUGGAAAAAAUACAAUCUUUUUUUGCCGUAGGUACUAUUAGAAAAAAUAAAGUAAAUAAUUCUGUAAUUUUUGCUGUACAAUCCGUUAAAGAUUUAACAACAGUAAUAAUACCUCAUUUUGAUAAAUUUCCUUUAAUUACUCAAAAACGUGCUGACUAUGAACUUUUUAAACAAGUAGUAACUAUUUUGGCACGUAAACAACAUCUUAGUCUUUCGGGUUUACAAGAAGUUGUUAAUUUAAGGGCUUCAAUAAAUAAUGGUUUAACUGAAAAAUUAAAAGAAUAUUUUCCUGAUACAAAACCUGCACAUAAACCAAUAGUAGAUUUAAUUUCAAUAUUUGAUUCAAAUUGGUUGGCUGGAUUUGUAGAUGGUGAAGGAAAUUUUUUAAUAGCUAUUGUUACAAAUGAUAAAACAAAAAUGGGUUGUACUGUAAGUCUACGGUUUAGUGUUUGUCAACAUAAUCGCGAUGCUAAAUUAAUGGAAAAUUUAAUUAAUUUUUUAGGCUGCGGAAGUGUGGUAUAUCAUAAUGUAAGAUCUACAGUUGAGUUUGUUGUCACUAAAUUUACAGAUAUUGAAAAAAAAGUAAUACCUUUUUUCGAAAAAUAUCCUUUAGAAGGAAUCAAAUCUUUAAACUUUUAUAGUUUUAUUAAGGCUUUUGAGUUGAUGAAAAAUAAAGCUCAUCUUAAUCCUGAGGGAUUAAAAAAAAUUCUUCAAAUAAAAGAAAAAAUGAAUAAAAGAUAACGUUAAUUUAUGAUAAUUUUCUGUUAUAAAAAAAAUAAUUAUGGUAUAAUUCUAAAUUAUUUUUAUAUUUUAAUGAUGAACGUGAGUAUGUUAAUACAAAAAAAAUUUAAUAAAAAAAAAUAAACAAUAUUAUCUAUCGGUAAUACCGUGGGAAGUUGAUAAAUCGUAGGAAUAAUUUGUUUUUAGAACAAAUUGAACAAAAUAUAUAAGUUUAUAUAUUAGUUCCUUUUUAUUUAACCCUGUAACGACUGAUUUGAAAAAAGAGACGGGUAUUCCGUAAUACGUCAGCACUCAAUUAUUCCAGAAAAUAAAUGCAUAAAAAUUAAAUAAGAUAAGGUUAUAUAGAAAUUUAUAACUUUACUGUGUUCUUAAAAUAUUAAAUAAUUCUAAUAUUUCUUAUAAUAAAUAUUAUUAUAAUCCUUAUCCUGUUGGUGAUAUCCCAGAUUUGCGAAAUUUAAUAUUUAUUUAAUAAAUAUAGCUAAUUAUUAUUAACCUAAAUUUAUUUGAAUAAUCAAUGUUAUUAUUAUUAUAUAUAUUUUAGAUAAAAAAAAAAUUAAUGAAUAUUUUAUUAAAACAAUAUGUCCAAGUUAGGUUUUACAGGGUAUCUAAAAAAGCUCAUCUUACUGUGCCUCAGGAAUUGCAUGAUAUUAUUAUCGGUUCAAUGUUAGGAGAUUUAUCAGCAGAAAAACCAAAUGAAAAUUGUAAUACAAGAUUGGAAUUUAAACAAUCUAUCAUAAAUAAAGUUUAUUUAGAGCAUUUGUAUGAUUUGUUUAAAAGUUUUUGUGGUACAAAACCAUAGGUAAUGUCAAAAUUUGAUAGUAGACCUAAUAAAAAUAAAGAAUACCAUGCAAUUAAAUUUCAAACUUUAAGCCUGCCUUGUUUCAACAUUUAUCGAGAGCUUUUUUAUGAUUCAAAAGGUAUAAAAAUGAUACCUAUUGAUUUAGAAAAUAUGUUGACGUUUAGCGUAUUGAUUAAUGGACGAUAGCUAUAAGUCAGGUAAAGGUUUAUAUAUUUGUACGGAGUCAUUUUCUUUAGACGAAUGUAAUUUAUUAAUUAAUAUUUUGAAAAAUAAAUUUAAUUUAAAUUGUAGUUUACAUAAACAUAUUAAUGGUUUUAGAAUUUACAUAUUUAGUAGUUCUAAAAAUGAGUUAAUAGAUUUAGUUAAACCAUAUUUUUUAGAUCAUUUUUAUUAUAAAUUAAAUUUAAGUUCAGAUAUUUAAUAUAAAUUUUGUUCUGUUUUUUAGUGACUGCUUACUGCUCUUUGGUGGGUUUGUUUUUUUUUUGUUCUGCCUCUUUUUGUUUUUUGUCUUUUUGUUUCGCCUUUUUUAUAGUUUAAUUUAAUUAUUCGGCCUUAGUUGUUGUUCCUAUAUUAAUAAAUAAAAAAGGUGUAAAAUAUUCAUUAAUAUUUUAAUUAUCUAAAAAAGUUUAUGCUAAAUAUUUUUAUUGAGUUGAAGGUAUAGUCUAAUCCAAAAGGAAACUUUUGGCACGAAUUGCCAGCAAGUUAAUAUUAGAUGCGAGCAGUAAUAGCCAAGAUAACUCGAUCAAUACAAUAGUGAGAAGUAUCUAAAAUUAGACCCGAAGCCUAGUGAUCUUACCAUGAUCACAGUUAUAAAAGCUGGAACGGGUUAUUGUUGCAUAAAUAUCCGAAGAAUUGUGGUAAGUUGGUGAAAGAUAAAACUGACUAGGGAUAGCUGGUUUUCCGCGAAACGUAUCUAAGUACGUAAUUAUUACUAACAUCAUGCAGGUACAGAACUAAGAUCUUACUAGGCUAGUCGAAGAGAUAUUUUUCAACAAGAUCGGGGAAUCGUGAAGAUUUUAUCGUUAAGUAAUAGGUCUCGAAAUAGCAGGGAUGAAUGUUUAAUUAACAGACAUGGUAUGCUAAGGUUGCAUGUCGAGAGGGAAACAGCCCAGAACAAGAGUAAAUAUAAGGUUCCAAAAUUAUUGUUAAUACGAAGUGAAAUGAAGAGAGUUUUUAUCUAUUUCGAUCAGGUGAUGGGCUUAGUGGCGGCCAUUUUUUAAAGAUCUCGUAAUAGAGUUACUGAUUCAAACACCGGAAGACCUCCGGUGGAUAGAGACACCUAAAAUUUAUCGGAUCAAAACAAUAUACCGACACCUUGUCCAUAAUUAUAAUUAGUAUUCAUAUUAAGAGAUGGGUCUGUCUAAUUUAAUUAUGGGGUAGCGGAACGUUGGGUAAUAUUAUUAAAUUAUUCUUUUUAAGAAUAAAAACACAUUAACCCAAGUGAGGAUGCUGACAUGAGUAACGAAAAAGGAAAAAUUUCCUCGCCUUAAGCUUAUGGGUUAUAUGAAGUAACGGCCUCUAAGUUAAUUGACCUAAUGGUCUAAACGAUGAAAAAUUCUAGUUUUAUUGGGACAACCUUAUAUGAGUGUGUAAGUGUUCUGGAAAAGCAAUUAAACCGUACCUAAGAACCAUGAGGUAAGCUAGUAGAGAAUACGAAGGCGCUUGAGUGAACAAUCAUUAAGGAACUCGGCAAACUAACUACCGUAACUUUGGGAGAAGGAGUGCCGACCCUACCGUUUAAUAUCGGUUUGGGUAAGGAAGCAUAGAAUCGUGUUGUCCGACUGUUUAAUUAAAACAAAGCACGCUGCAUUAAGAUGAAAGUCUAAGUAUAGAGUGUGAUGUCUGCCCGAUGCCGGCUGGUUAACGGAGUUUUAACUAUGAGGGUCCAAAGGUAGCGAAAUACCUUGGCUACUAAAUAUAGUCUCGCAUGAAUGAUGUAACGAUACAACAGCUGUCUCGAUGAUUGGCUCAGUGAAAUUGGAAUGGCUGUGCAGAUACAGUCUACCUCUAGAUAGACGAGAAGACCCUAUGCAGCUUUACUGUUUCUAGUCAUUGCGUGUGAUCGGACCAACAGUAGGAAUAAGGUAGUAUUAUACGUAAUUGAAACACCUUUUUGAGUCUAUCACAUUGCUGGGGUGAGAACAACGGCUAGGUGGCAGUUUAUGCGGGGCACAGAUCCCAUAAAGAGUAGCUGGGUAUAUCCUAAAUUUUAGAAAAAUAAUAGUGAUUUUGAUAAUGACUUGUCAAGUUUAAUGGCAUAAUCUUGCUUAACUGUCUGACCUACGCGUCUAUCAGUCGCGUAAGCGGGGCAUACGAUCAUGAAAUUCACAAAGGUCUGGUUUCAUAUCAUAGAAUAAAGUUACGCUAGGGAUAACAGGCUGAUUGCGCUUGAGAGUACACAUUGGGAGCGCAGUUUGGCACCUCGAUGUCGGCUUAGCUUAUCCUCAUGAACGCAGGAAGCAUGAAGGGUACGACUGUUCGUCGUUUAAAAAGCUACACGAGCUGGGUUAAAUACGUCGUGAGACAGUAUGGUUUCUAUCUUCUAGUGGUAGUUAGAGUAAAUUAAAAUCAGGCCCUUUGUACGAAAGGAACCGGGAAUAUUAACCUCUGGUUUACCUGUUGUUUGUGUGGACGAUAUUAAUUGUAAUUAUAUAUUGCAAAAAGAAUCUUACUGACACUUAAGUAAGCAAUAGCAUAGGCACGGCAGGAAAGCUAUGUUUAAGAACUGAAAGCAUAUAAGUAUGAAACUAACUUUAGGAUACUCUUAAAAGAGCGUAGAAUACUACUACG